Molecule: ribosomal RNA, 520 nt
Filed under: uncultured bacterium
Lineage: Bacteria
Description: bacterial SSU rRNA
Rfam family: Bacterial small subunit ribosomal RNA
Source: RNAcentral
UAGUCCACGCCGUAAACGAUGGUUACUAGCUGUUGGGCCGAUUGGGGCUCAGUGGCCAAGCGAAAGUGAUAAGUAACCCACCUGGGGAGUACGUUCGCAAGAAUGAAACUCAAAGGAAUUGACGGGGGCCCGCACAAGCGGUGGAGCAUGUGGUUUAAUUCGAUGAUACGCGAGGAACCUUACCAGGGCUUAAAUGCAGUUGGACAGGGGUGGAAACACCCCCUUCUUCGGACUGAUUGCAAGGUGCUGCAUGGUUGUCGUCAGCUCGUGCCGUGAGGUGUCAGGUUAAGUCCUAUAACGAGCGCAACCCCUGUGGUUAGUUGCCAGCGAGUAAUGUCGGGAACUCUAGCCAGACUGCCGGUGCAAACCGUGAGGAAGGUGGGGAUGACGUCAAAUCAUCACGGCCCUUACGUCCUGGGCUACACACGUGCUACAAUGGACGGUACAGCGAGUAGCGAACCUGCAAAGGUCAGCCAAUCUCUAAAAGCCGUUCUCAGUUCGGAUCGGAGUCUGCAACUCG